ACCAGACUCCUACGGGAGGCAGCAGUGGGGAAUAUUGCACAAUGGGGGAAACCCUGAUGCAGCGACGCCGCGUGAGUGAAGAAGUAAUUCGUUAUGUAAAGCUCUAUCAGCAGGGAAGAAAAUGACGGUACCUGAGUAAGAAGCCCCGGCUAACUACGUGCCAGCAGCCGCGGUAAUACGUAGGGGGCAAGCGUUAUCCGGAUUCACUGGGUGUAAAGGGAGCGUAGACGGCCAAGCAAGCCAGGGGUGAAAGCCCGGGGCCCAACCCCGGGACUGCCCUUGGAACUGCAUGGCUGGAGUGCGGGAGGGGCAGGCGGAAUUCCUGGUGUAGCGGUGAAAUGCGUAGAUAUUAGGAGGAACACCAGUGGCGAAGGCGGCCUGCUGGACGACGACUGACGUUGAGGCUCGAAAGCGUGGGGAGCAAACAGGAUUAGAUACCCGAGUA
Molecule: ribosomal RNA, 445 nt
Filed under: uncultured bacterium
Lineage: Bacteria
Description: bacterial SSU rRNA
Rfam family: Bacterial small subunit ribosomal RNA
Source: RNAcentral